Long non-coding RNA from Herpailurus yagouaroundi (jaguarundi), 396 nucleotides. RefSeq lists it as uncharacterized. Lineage: Eukaryota; Metazoa; Chordata; Mammalia; Carnivora; Felidae. The record is from RefSeq and is a predicted model, not a curated record. The transcript has 3 exons.
UGUACCCCUGCUGCUGUUGGAUGGCAUGUCUGGACGCGGUUAUGCAGUCCUGCGUAGGUGCCUGCGUAUUCAAAGACGCGGUCAGCUCUUCCAGACGGACUUUGCCCGGCACCCAGCUCAGAGCCCAGAACACAGAAGGAGUCUGGGAAGGCUCCAGGAGACCAGAAGUCAGACGCUAACCCCACAGACCUUGACAGCGGCCUCCAUGUGCCGCAAUGUCCAUUCAUCAAGAACUCACUUUGCUAUUAUUUUCUUCUCUUAAUUCCCCACGUGUUAAUGAGAAACACUCCAGGAGAAUCUUCUCAGAUAUCUGUGGAUCUCUUCAGCCACCACUGCCUGUCUGCUCAGACCUGAGAACACACUGGGUGAAAGCAGGUACCACAUCAGUGAGGUCCC